GGACAGAUGGCCGAGCGGUCUAUGGCGCUACGUUCAGGUUUCACUUGUGAAUCAGGACUUCGUAGUCUCGAAAGGGGCGUGGGUUCGAAUCCCACUCUGUUCA
RNAcentral lists this transfer RNA (103 nucleotides) under Coniochaeta pulveracea. It matches the Rfam family "tRNA". Rfam says of the family: Transfer RNA (tRNA) molecules are approximately 80 nucleotides in length. Their secondary structure includes four short double-helical elements and three loops (D, anti-codon, and T loops). The record is from Rfam by way of RNAcentral. Lineage: Eukaryota; Fungi; Ascomycota; Sordariomycetes; Coniochaetales; Coniochaetaceae.